AUAAAACGUAUCAAUAGUUUUCUAUUCUAAAUAGAAAGAAAGUCAAAUUUGUCUAAAUACUAGACAUAAGGAAGCGGGGGAUAAAUGCGGGGAAGAAAAAAUUCUAGGAGGGAUUAUUUGUCUUCCUAGUCUUCGACACAAGAAAGGGGUGUAGAAAAAUACUUUUUUCUUGUGUCGAAACGAAAGAGUAAUGAUUCUUGAUCCUGUUUGUUAAAAAUUCCUAGUCUUGGUUUCAAUUUUUCCAGAUGUAUCAGAAACCCUACACCUACCC
RNAcentral lists this long non-coding RNA (271 nucleotides) under Nicotiana benthamiana. Its description in RNAcentral is "long non-coding RNA (NBEN_LNC038015)". The record is from RNAcentral. Lineage: Eukaryota; Viridiplantae; Streptophyta; Magnoliopsida; Solanales; Solanaceae.